RNAcentral lists this unclassified non-coding RNA (391 nucleotides) under soil metagenome. RNAcentral describes it as "partial contains 5.8S ribosomal RNA, internal transcribed spacer 2, and large subunit ribosomal RNA". The stretch from base 1 to 122 matches the Rfam family "5.8S ribosomal RNA", at positions 35 to 154 of the family's 154-position model. The record is from RNAcentral.
GAUGAAGAACGCAGCGAAAUGCGAUACUUGGUGUGAAUUGCAGAAUCCCGUGAACCAUCGAGUCUUUGAACGCAAGUUGCGCCCGAAGCCAUUAGGCCGAGGGCACGCCUGCCUGGGCGUCACACGUCGUUGCCCCCCCAUCUACUCCUUCGGGAUUGCGGGGGGCGGAUGAUGGCCUCUCGUGCGCCUCGUCGCGCGGUUGGCCUAAAUGCCAAGUCCUCGGCGACGCACGCCACGACAAUCGGUGGUUGCGAAACCUCGGUUGCCUGUCGUGUGCGGUCGUCGCGCAUCGAGGGCUCGAAAAAAUUGCCGGGCUUCGGCUCGGCUUUCAACGCGACCCCAGGUCAGGCGGGGUUACCCGCUGAAUUUAAGCAUAUCAAUAAGCGGAGGA